This 465-nucleotide ribosomal RNA is filed under the name uncultured bacterium. RNAcentral's name for it is "partial 16S ribosomal RNA". It matches the Rfam family "Bacterial small subunit ribosomal RNA", at positions 28 to 507 of the family's 1533-position model. The record is from RNAcentral.
GACGAACGCUGGCGGCGUGCUUAACACAUGCAAGUCGAACGGAAAGGCCCUGCUUGCAGGGUACUCGAGUGGCGAACGGGUGAGUAACACGUGGGUGAUCUGCCCUGCACUUCGGGAUAAGCCUGGGAAACUGGGUCUAAUACCGGAUAGGAGCCAUUUUUAGUGUGAUGGUUGGAAAGUUUUUUCGGUGUAGGAUGAGCUCGCGGCCUAUCAGCUUGUUGGUGGGGUAAUGGCCUACCAAGGCGGCGACGGGUAGCCGGCCUGAGAGGGUGGACGGCCACAUUGGGACUGAGCUACGGCCCAGACUCCUACGGGAGGCAGCAGUGGGGAAUAUUGCACAAUGGGCGCAAGCCUGAUGCAGCGACGCCGCGUGGGGGAUGACGGCCUUCGGGUUGUAAACUCCUUUCGCUAGGGACGAAGCUUUUUGUGACGGUACCUAGAUAAGAAGCACCGGCUAACUACGUG